Castor canadensis (American beaver) is the source of this 3063-nucleotide non-coding RNA. The record is from RefSeq and is a predicted model, not a curated record. NCBI's taxonomy places the organism in Eukaryota, Metazoa, Chordata, Mammalia, Rodentia, Castoridae.
UCUAAAGAACACCAGCUGUAGAGGAGGAAGCUUCUGAAAGAAGUAAGAGGAACACAGGACAUGUCCCCAAGGUCUUGCUCCACCAAGUUCUAGGACACUUCAGAGAAUACAGAUCCUCAUGUGAAGUGCGGGACCUCUGUGCUGUUUAUUCUGAAUCCCCAGCACCUGACCUGCAGCAGUCCUGGCCCACAGUAGGUGUCAACAUCAGCUGGAAGGAUGAACAGAUGGACAAAUGCAGCCAGACCAGGACCAGCCCCAGCUGUCUCCAGUCCGCAUGUCUGGUGUUCAUGGGUACAUGGUGCCAGAGUUCAGCAAUGAAGGACAAUGUGACAGAGGCUUCCAGGGUGCACAGGUUAUAAGCUUGGGCUUUGGAGUCAGACAUAUGUGGGUUCUAAAUUUGCUCUGCCUCUUGUUAGUUGUGUGACCUCAGACCAAUCACUUGAUCUUUGAACUUCUGUUUCCUCACAUAUAACAUGGGUAUAAUAAAAUCUACCUCAUUUGGCCAUCAGGAGAACAAAAUCAAAUAGUGCCUAUAAAAAGUUUAGGUAAGUCCUUGGUAAGUGAUCAACAAAUGGGCCCAUCUGGGAUCCUGAACAUCUAUAGAUGUAAUGCCCAGGGAGUUAGUUUGGAGGAAUGGAACACAUCACUGUUUCUAGAGGAGGUGGUGGCUUCUGGACCCCAAAGUCAGCCAGUGUAGAGGUCGGUGCUCAGUGUUAUCCUGGCAGGCAUGUGGGCUCCCUACAUGCAUGGGGACAAGUUAAGGACAAGGCUAUGAUGAGGUCACAUUGAGCCACCUAUAGACCUGCUGGAUUUUCAGGAUACAAGUGAUGGCUGAAAUCAUAGAAGAUGAGGGAUGGAAGGGAACCUUUGGUUCUGCUCUGGGCCUCAAUUUGAAGAGGCUUCCCAUCAAUCAAGGCAUGUUUCUGCUUUGCAGGGAUGGAUCCUCUCUGCCAAGUGACUUUAUGGGGCCAUCACAAUUGUUAAAUUUGAUUCAGGCAAGAUGCACCACUGGGCAAAUUUUAUUGUGAGUUCUCCAUGCCAGGAACUCCUAUAAUCUGUUAUUUGAGAAAGACCCAGAAGGUGGAGACACGAGCCAAGCUCUGCCCUGUAUGCCAGGUGAAACCAUAGCUGUGAGAGACCAUGUAUCUGGGCCUUCGCUGUCUCAGGAGCAUGGAAUACUUCUACGCAGAUUUUUUCUUCCUAAUUGCCGCCAUCCAUGUGAAUGUCUCUGCAUAUGAGUCCCAGAGGGUAACUUUCUCAUAUUCCCUGACCUACCUUUGAGAGCCUGAGUUCAAAUGCUGAGCAGGAGCCCUCAACAGAAGAUUCAGGCUGCAAUUGUUGUUUACCACCUUGAACAUUAGCUAGUCUCACUCUAGUAUGGAAUUUAGAUUGCAGUUCGUGGAAGAGGCUGAAGGUUUUAACAACAGCAUUGUUUUUACAUCUAAUAGCUAUGGAACUAGUCAUACUCUUCUUCCUGUAAUCUCUGUGGUGGCUCCGUGUAGUGUAUGGGAAUAAGUACAGCUAGAGGACGUCAGAUCACAGUGUUCCUGGUCUAUGAAGCAGUGAGCCACUCAGAGAUGCUCUUUUUCUAAGGAGCCAGCGAGAUGCAUUGGUGAUGAGCCCUGAAUUGGAGGUCAGGAUAUUUGGGUUCACAAUUCCAGCUCUGCCACUUCCCUGAUAGGUGACUUCCCUGCCAGGUGGCUGUGUCAGGGCUGCUGCUUCCUUGGGUAUAGAACAAGGGUUGUCCCUCAAGUUAUUUCUAGCUCUGACAUUCCACAAGACUUAGCUAGCUUUGAGUGCCAUUCCAAAUUCUGGAAACUAAGUAGUGACUGUUCAAGUGAGCACAUCCUUGCAGACUUUGAGCAAGGGUGCCAGACAGUUGGCCCUGGAUGGCCAAAUCUCAGAACUAUGGAAUUUCACUCAACUGCAAAGUCCCCAGCACAACUUGUCACUGAGUGAAAUUCUUCAACAGAUAAGUUUAUCAUAUUGGUGGUUUAAUGACUUUUAUUAAACAAAUGCUCUUUGAAACCUAUUAACAAACUGUGAGGUCCUGCUUUUUUUUAUCAUUGUUGUCAGUAAUAAUAAAAAUAGCACCAAUUGCUUAUUCACUUUGUAUGAUACACUGCUUUUAUAGUGUGCUAAGCUUUACCUCAUUGAAUGUUUCCAAUAGCCCUAUUACUUUCCCUAUUUUAUAGAUGAGAGGUUCAGAGAAUUUCCCCAGGUCACACUGUCAGUAAGUGCAUGCAUUAGGAUUUGAAUCUGGCUCAGUCUGACUUCUGAGUAUACUUUUUCUUAUGGCUGGAAGUUAUAGUGUCUUGUGGCACUUUGACCAGCAUCUUUAGAAUCAACACAGUUUUGCAAAUUGUGCUGUGAGUAGAAGAGAGAGGAGAACUUGAACCUGGUCUUUGCCUUUAAGAUCUUCAGAUCUAGGAGACAGCAUGCCUGUAAAUAAUACAAUGUAAACAAUGAGUGGUUCAGGUAGUAAGCAGUAAGAACCAAUAGUAAGGAAGGGCUCAGAGUCAGGAAGAUCUGUAGGGAUUCUGAAAAAACAGUAGUGACAAAUUGGAACUUUAUUUGAAUCCCUAAGAAUGGGGGUAAAAAUAUCUGAGGACAGGCUCUGAAAGAAAGGGUAGGGAAAGAGCCAAGUCCUGGAGAUGGGAGUGUGCCUACAGUGUUCUCAGAACAUUGGGCAGACAGGGCAGUUUGACAUGAGUGGAGAAUCUGUGAAGCAGGAGAGCGUAUGGGAGGGAGACUUGGGCACUAAAUAGGGUUGAAGUCUACUUUGUGAAAAUUAAGCAGGUGCACACUCAUUGUGUCUUCUGUGCAAAGCAAGAAAUGAGUGAUUUCUAUAGUGAUGUUAGAUUGUUUCUGCUACAUAAAUAUAGUGAUUCAGACAGAUGAAAACACAGUCACUUAGGUAGAACAUCUGUAAAUUCCACUACACACUCUAACAUCCAUUUGCUCACAUUAAUGGAGCUGCCUCUGCACUGCCCAGGUUAAGUGCUCCUGCACUUACUGGCAGGAAUUGGGAGGAAACACAGGGCAAUUAGAAUAGGGGCAUUA